CCUCCUCCUCCUCCCUUACAGGCGUUGACCGGCUUUGGAGUAGGGAUACUCAUCCAAUGCCGGGAGCCGAGCUCGAGAAGGCACCGAAGAUGGCGGCGCCGCCGAGGCCGGAUGGGAAGCCCUAAUUGCCUCGGCAGAAGGCCUCUCGUCUGUGUGAAUGAAUGAACAGAUGUGUGGUGUGCUUGCUCUGUAUGACAUUUUCUCCGAUCAUCCUUCUGUGUUUUAUCUUACUAUGCGGCCCUAAGGUCAACUCUCUUCCUCCUCCCUUCCUGGUUUUUGGGCGGAUCUUCGAGAUCCGUGUGCGGUGACGAUCUUCGAUCGAAUCGGCCCGGGUGAUGGCCUCAGUUCGAUGUUUCAUGCAGAUAAUGGAGAACAAGCAAGGAGAGGAGUUCGCAGGGAGGAGGCCGCGUACCUUUCAAGCGACGAGUGGGAGAGGACGGCCAUGUUCGCUGCGGCUGUUCCUGCUCCGUCUGAGGCGAUGGAGCCAUGGAUGCGGCCGCGGAGCUCUCCAUGAAGGGGACGAUGGCUCUGAUAAGCUUAUAAAUUCCGCCGGUCCACGGUACCACCCACUGGUCUCUGCGCGCGUGCCGCUGAACGUUUGGUUUCACCCUUAAUGGGCCCACAGGUCUAGUCGUAUCCCCGUGAAGCCCAAUAAGAGAAAUCCGAGUGGGAUAUGUGGGCCCACU
Molecule: long non-coding RNA, 686 nt
Filed under: Spirodela polyrhiza (greater duckweed)
Lineage: Eukaryota; Viridiplantae; Streptophyta; Magnoliopsida; Alismatales; Araceae
Description: long non-coding RNA (SPOL_LNC000948)
Source: RNAcentral